AAGGUAGCAUAAUAAUUUGCCUUUUAAUUGGAGGCUGGCAUGAACGGAUAAACGAGAAUAAAGCUGUCUCAAAAGAAGCCAUAAAAAUUAAGUUUUAGGUGAAGACGCCUAAAUUACCCUAAAGGACAAAAAGACCCUGUUGAGCUUAACCCUCUACAAACCUAUAAACUUUGUUCAGGUUUAGUUGGGGCGACUAAUGGAGAAACAAAGCUCCUUUACAACAAAGACCUCGUGUCACCACUAAUGACCUGCUUAAGCAAUCAAUAGAAAAGCUACCACAGGGAUAACAGACUAAUCCUCCUCAAGAGCCCAAAUUGACAGGAGGGCUUGGCACAUCGAUGUUGGCUUAAGGUAUCCUAUAAGUGCAGCCGCUUAACCGGAAGGUUCGUUCAACCUUUAAUUCCUUACGUGAUCUGAGUUCAGACCGG
RNAcentral lists this ribosomal RNA (428 nucleotides) under Augeneria sp. NHM 4590. Its description in RNAcentral is "partial large subunit ribosomal RNA". It matches the Rfam family "Bacterial large subunit ribosomal RNA", at positions 1953 to 2619 of the family's 2925-position model. Lineage: Eukaryota; Metazoa; Annelida; Polychaeta; Eunicida; Lumbrineridae. The record is from RNAcentral.